GUGGCGUACGGCACCGCGGGGUACGGGCCGCUUGCGGUGCUGCUCACAGCGAGGUCCGCGCGGGGGCAGGCCGGGCUCAGCCCCGUACGCCGCGC
RNAcentral lists this transfer RNA (95 nucleotides) under Streptomyces sp. ADI97-07. Its description in RNAcentral is "tRNA-Arg". Lineage: Bacteria; Bacillati; Actinomycetota; Actinomycetes; Kitasatosporales; Streptomycetaceae. The record is from RNAcentral.